GAGGAAGAGUCAGGGAAGGAGUCAGAUGCCUCUGCCUUGCUGCUGGCCCUUGAACCAGGGACUGAGCUGUACCAACGAUUCACUCUGGAGGAAUAUGCUGAGGAGCUGCUGGAACUGCCGGUGGCAGAGUCCACUGAGGGCCUGUGAGUGAUGAAGCCCUACAAACAGAUAGCACAUGGAGGGUGUCAUUGAUUUUAUGGAUGACUUAAUGAAGCCUAAAGACCUCUCAGAAGUGAACCAAUGUAUGCUGGUUUUAAAAGCCCAGAAAUUUAAGACCUACAAUGGUCUUUCCUCAGACUUGGUUGUUCAGGCCACAGUGCUAUCCUGUGGGGCAGAGAACCAUACAGAAUGAGCAAGAGAAGGUUUCUUGCAUCUUUAAACCAGAGGAUAGGUAUUUUACUAUGUAAACAUGAAUUUUAAAAUUGGGGUUGAAUUAUCUGAAUCUCAGUGUCCUAUGAUGCUGUUAUUUCUCACUGCAACUAGCUAGGUAGAUACAGAAUUAUUAAUGCCCUAUGAUGCAACUGGUCUCAAUCAAAUAGUUAGGAGGAACAACGUCCACUAUCCCCCUUUAGUUUGGGCAAACGUAACUUCCCGUACCUGGAGGUGGACUGCUAUUGUAAAUUUACCAAUGCAAAUGAAGAUGAUAAAACAGAUUUUCAUUGAGUUAGAGAGUGCAACCAGGUUUUGCACCUUUAAAUACAUUGGGUUAAAAAAAUACCUUUAGUUAAACCAGACCUAUGUUAUAAUACCUCACAGGUCUCAUCUGGGCAUUGAGCAGCUUACCUCAAUCAUUUUCCUGAGUGGCAUGCUCUGGGGUGAUAGUGAGAUGUAAUUUUUCUUGUUAAUUACCAAAAGCAGCAUUUGCUAAUAACUUAAUUCAUAUUUAGCACAAGUUAUUCUCCUAGUGAACUUCAAACCGUUGUAGAAAUCACUUUUCUCCUAACAUGGAUCUAGUUCCACUAUUGAUGAAGCCUCAGUUAAUGAAAAACUGAGGAUGCUGCUAGGAAAGCUAGUCCUUUGAUUAAAAUCAAUGAAACCUACAACACUAACUGAAAUCCUGGACUACAUGAUCUUAUGGCCAGAAUUCCAAUACAGUUUUGGACUAAGAUGAUAUUUUGUUUAGGAGCAAAGCAGUAACAGAUUUCAUCACUUGUUCUGGCCAAAAGGAAGCAAAAGAUCAGUGACUGGAAUAAUGUCUACUUUUUCUCUAUCUUCUUGUUUGGGGGAAUUGAAGGGUUUUCCCUCCUGUUAUAUGCCCCAUGUUAUGAGCUUAUUAAAGCUUGAGUGUCUUAUUAAAAUUA
Molecule: long non-coding RNA, 1301 nt
Organism: Chelonia mydas (Green sea turtle)
Lineage: Eukaryota; Metazoa; Chordata; Testudines; Cheloniidae
Exons: 2
Source: RefSeq, a predicted model, not a curated record